This 1355-nucleotide ribosomal RNA is filed under the name uncultured bacterium. RNAcentral describes it as "bacterial SSU rRNA". It matches the Rfam family "Bacterial small subunit ribosomal RNA", at positions 28 to 1381 of the family's 1533-position model. The record is from RNAcentral.
AUUGAACGCUGGCGGCAGGCUUAACACAUGCAAGUCGAACGAUGAUUUCCCAGCUUGCUGGGAAUGAUUAGUGGCGGACGGGUGAGUAACAUUUAGGAAUCUGCCUAGUAGUGGGGGAUAGCUCGGGGAAACUCGAAUUAAUACCGCAUACGACCUACGGGUGAAAGGGGGCGCAAGCUCUUGCUAUUAGAUGAGCCUAAAUCAGAUUAGCUAGUUGGUGGGGUAAAGGCCCACCAAGGCGACGAUCUGUAACUGGUCUGAGAGGAUGAUCAGUCACACCGGAACUGAGACACGGUCCGGACUCCUACGGGAGGCAGCAGUGGGGAAUAUUGGACAAUGGGGGCAACCCUGAUCCAGCCAUGCCGCGUGUGUGAAGAAGGCCUUUUGGUUGUAAAGCACUUUAAGCAGGGAGGAGAGGCUAAUGGUUAAUACCCAUUAGAUUAGACGUUACCUGCAGAAUAAGCACCGGCUAACUCUGUGCCAGCAGCCGCGGUAAUACAGAGGGUGCGAGCGUUAAUCGGAAUUACUGGGCAUAAAGCGAGUGUAGGUGGCUCAUUAAGUCACAUGUGAAAUCCCCGGGCUUAACCUGGGAACUGCAUGUGAUACUGGUGGUGCUAGAAUAUGUGAGAGGGAAGUAGAAUUCCAGGUGUAGCGGUGAAAUGCGUAGAGAUCUGGAGGAAUACCGAUGGCGAAGGCAGCUUCCUGGCAUAAUAUUGACACUGAGAUUCGAAAGCGUGGGUAGCAAACAGGAUUAGAUACCCUGGUAGUCCACGCCGUAAACGAUGUCUACUAGCCGUUGGGGUCCUUGAGACUUUAGUGGCGCAGUUAACGCGAUAAGUAGACCGCCUGGGGAGCACGGCCGCAAGGUUAAAACUCAAAUGAAUUGACGGGGGCCCGCACAAGCGGUGGAGCAUGUGGUUUAAUUCGAUGCAACGCGAAGAACCUUACCUGGUCUUGACAUAGUGAGAAUCCUGCAGAGAUGCGGGAGUGCCUUCGGGAAUUCACAUACAGGUGCUGCAUGGCUGUCGUCAGCUCGUGUCGUGAGAUGUUGGGUUAAGUCCCGCAACGAGCGCAACCCUUUUCCUUAUUUGCCAGCGGGUUAAGCCGGGAACUUUAAGGAUACUGCCAGUGACAAACUGGAGGAAGGCGGGGACGACGUCAAGUCAUCAUGGCCCUUACGACCAGGGCUACACACGUGCUACAAUGGUAGGUACAGAGGGUUGCUACACAGCGAUGUGAUGCUAAUCUCAAAAAGCCUAUCGUAGUCCGGAUUGGAGUCUGCAACUCGACUCCAUGAAGUCGGAAUCGCUAGUAAUCGCAGAUCAGAAUGCUGCGGUGAAUACGUUCCCGGGCCU